Molecule: long non-coding RNA, 206 nt
Filed under: Vigna radiata
Lineage: Eukaryota; Viridiplantae; Streptophyta; Magnoliopsida; Fabales; Fabaceae
Description: long non-coding RNA (VRAD_LNC006786)
Source: RNAcentral
UCCUCCACAUUCAACUCCACUUCAGCCUCCUCCACAUGCACCUCCACUUCAGCCACCUCCCCUUCAACCUCGACCUCAGCCUCCUCCCCUUGAACCUCCACCUCAGCCUCCUCCCCUUCAUCCUCCACCUCAGCCUCCUCCUCUUGCACCUCCACUUUGUCCUCCUCAUUCCCACCUACAUGGUUAACUUCACUAUCCACAGUCCN